RNAcentral lists this ribosomal RNA (440 nucleotides) under uncultured archaeon. Its description in RNAcentral is "bacterial SSU rRNA". It matches the Rfam family "Archaeal small subunit ribosomal RNA", at positions 19 to 458 of the family's 1478-position model. The record is from RNAcentral.
GGAGGUUACUGCUAUCGGUGUUCGCCUAAGCCAUGCGAGUCAUAUGUUCUUCGUGAACAUGGCGUACUGCUCAGUAACACGUGAAUAACCUGCCCUUGGGACCGGCAUAACCCCGGGAAACUGGGGAUAAUUCCGGAUACCGCAUAUAUGCUGGAAUGCUUUAUGCGUGAAAUGGAUUCGUCUGCCCAAGGAUGGGUCUGCGGCCUAUCAGGUAGUAGGGGGUGUAAUGUACCUACUACCCUACAACGGGUACGGGUUGUGAGAGCAAGAGCCCGGAAAUGGAUUCUGAAACAUGAAUCCAGGCCCUACGGGGCGCAGCAGGCGCAAAAACUUUACAAUGCGGAAAACCGUGAUAAGGGGACACCGAGUGCCAGCAACAUUUGUUGGCUGUCCAGGUGUGUAAACUACACCUGUUAGCAAGGGCCGGGCAAGACCGGUGC